CUUAAUUCAAAGCAAAGUCUGCGCGACACAGUUCCAAUCGUGGAACCGAGUCAUAUCACAGGUAUGGAGGUGAUGAUCACUUUCGUUUGGCAAAACGAAUGGAAGCUAGCACUGGUGCAGUGCCUAGUGAUGUUCAAAUAUACCUUAGGGGGCACAUAGGACCAGAUCCUACAAAUCCAGAUGUGUUGUGCAGCCAAAAGGCAACAGAUCAUGUGGCUGCAUAUGGCGAGACGAUGUCUAGUCAGCACGGACCAGACUAUGACUAGAGGACCUCACCUAUUGAUCCUCAUGCUAUGUAUGCAAGUG
Molecule: long non-coding RNA, 306 nt
Organism: Zea mays
Lineage: Eukaryota; Viridiplantae; Streptophyta; Magnoliopsida; Poales; Poaceae
Exons: 3
Source: RefSeq, a predicted model, not a curated record